Long non-coding RNA from Lemur catta (Ring-tailed lemur), 778 nucleotides. RefSeq lists it as uncharacterized. The transcript has 3 exons. Lineage: Eukaryota; Metazoa; Chordata; Mammalia; Primates; Lemuridae. The record is from RefSeq and is a predicted model, not a curated record.
CCCACAUAGCUAAGGCCACACAGCAAGCCCAGGGCCCAGCCAGGGAUGAGUGCGAAGUUCCAGGACCGGAGAUGGAGGCUGACCUGGGGGAGGAAGGGACUGUGGCCUGGCUGCCUGCCACCACCUAAGCCUUCUCUGCCACCCCGCCUCAAGGGCAGGGAGCUGCUGCGCAGAUGGGGCUGGGAAACUACCAGAAGGCAGCCUUCCACCUGCCCAAGGCGGGCCUGCUCCUUCCUGGCUCCAUCAGUCAUCUUCCCAGCGGCAGCCCCCCGGUGACUGUGGCCCCAGCUCUCAGGAGUGCUCCUGCCCUACCCGCCCCGUACCGCAGGCCCAGAACCAGCCCCACUGAACUAAUCAGCAGGAACAGCGACCUUCGUGGGGACGCCUGGGUGGUGAGGUCCUGGCAGCCUACUGACCCCAAGUCACAGGCACUCCUGGCCACACGCAGUCUCCAAUAAGGAUUUGUCCUCCUCAUCCCGUCUCCCACCACCGCCGCCGGGUCCAUCUGGCCGACCCGGCUCAGCUCCCAGAGGUGUGUGAGCAGCGCAGUGGCGCCCACCCCCUGGCCCCAGCGCUGCCUGGUAUGGCCAGAAGACUGCUGUUACUGGAGAACCAGCCGUGCCCAGGACCCACAGCUUGGUUCAAAGCUGCCUCGGGGAAAAGCGUGCCGCUGACACUGUGUCCAGGCCCGGCCGGGCGGCCCCACCUUGGCUGGGGUUGGGGGGUGAGGUCAUGCCCAGCCCUGCUGCCCUGCCCGGGAGGAAGGACUAGCAGUACC